UACGGGAGGCAGCAGUGGGGAAUAUUGCACAAUGGGCGCAAGCCUGAUGCAGCCAUGCCGCGUGUAUGAAGAAGGCCUUCGGGUUGUAAAGUACUUUUAGUCGUGAGGAAGGUGUUAAGGUUAAUAACCUUAGCAAUUGACGUUAGCGACAGAAGAAGCACCGGCUAACUCCGUGCCAGCAGCCGCGGUAAUACGGAGGGUGCGAGCGUUAAUCGGAAUUACUGGGCGUAAAGGGCACGCAGGCGGUUAAUUAAGUUGGAUGUGAAAUCCCCGGGCUUAACCUGGGAAUGGCAUUCAAGACUGGUUAGCUAGAGUCUUGUAGAGGGGGGUAGAAUUCCAUGUGUAGCGGUGAAAUGCGUAGAGAUGUGGAGGAAUACCGGUGGCGAAGGCGGCCCCUGGGACAAAGACUGACGCUCAUGUGCGAAAGCGUGGGGAGCAAACAGGGAUUAGAUACC
This 455-nucleotide ribosomal RNA is filed under the name uncultured bacterium. Its description in RNAcentral is "bacterial SSU rRNA". It matches the Rfam family "Bacterial small subunit ribosomal RNA", at positions 340 to 786 of the family's 1533-position model. The record is from RNAcentral.